UUGAAAGCUAAAGAUAAAACUAUCAGGGAAAGUCCCAAAGAUAGGUCCAACCCGAUCCUAUUCUAUAAACUAAACAAUAAAAACAAACAAAUUAUCUAGAAACAAAAUAGGAAAGUAGAAAAUGUUGUCUUUUCAUCUGCUUCACCAAAUCAAUCGAAGCUCCCCAUCAUCCAUGGCAUAUUCAAAUCAGAUCGAGGAAGAUGAAGUGAAAUAAACCCAAUAGAAGACUUCUUUGACUCUACUAUCCAUAGAAACGAGAUCAUAAAGUCAAGAUAAGUAUACUUCACCCUCUAAAUUCUUAAAAGUAUCCACUUUAAACUAUUAGUUUCACCACCAUCUUGUAUUCUUGAUAGGUUGACCUCAACAUGAAGCUAAUAUCACUGCCUAAGAAGGGCAAAAUGACGGAUCUACUUCCAGUUUGGAUAGGCGUGUAACAAUUACCGUUUUCCUCCUUCAUUAGAAUUUGCAUGCAAUUUCUACCAUUGACAAUUAAUGUGAUUGCCUUUUGUGAUUUUCUAUUGUAUCUUUCCUUUUUAUGCUCUCCCAUAUGCUAUUCCAUAUUUCAUGUAUUGGCUUUGUUGUUCCUUGACUGUGAAUUCCCUGUUAUUGGCUUCAACCUCUCUUUAAUGUGCUUCUACUACUGA
Capsicum annuum is the source of this 644-nucleotide long non-coding RNA. RefSeq lists it as uncharacterized. The transcript has 2 exons. NCBI's taxonomy places the organism in Eukaryota, Viridiplantae, Streptophyta, Magnoliopsida, Solanales, Solanaceae. The record is from RefSeq and is a predicted model, not a curated record.